RNAcentral lists this ribosomal RNA (301 nucleotides) under uncultured bacterium. RNAcentral's name for it is "partial 16S ribosomal RNA". It matches the Rfam family "Bacterial small subunit ribosomal RNA", at positions 509 to 807 of the family's 1533-position model. The record is from RNAcentral.
CAGUCGCCGCGGUAAUACGUAGGUGGCAAGCGUUGUCCGGAAUUAUUGGGCGUAAAGGGCUCGCAGGCGGUUUCUUAAGUCUGAUGUGAAAGCCCCCGGCUCAACCGGGGAGGGUCAUUGGAAACUGGGAAACUUGAGUGCAGAAGAGGAGAGUGGAAUUCCACGUGUAGCGGUGAAAUGCGUAGAGAUGUGGGGGAACACCAGUGGCGAAGGCGACUCUCUGGUCUGUAACUGACGCUGAGGAGCGAAAGCGUGGGGAGCGAACAGGAUUAGAUACCCGCGUAGUCCCUGUCUCUUAUAC